This 350-nucleotide ribosomal RNA is filed under the name uncultured bacterium. RNAcentral's name for it is "bacterial SSU rRNA". It matches the Rfam family "Bacterial small subunit ribosomal RNA", at positions 1046 to 1395 of the family's 1533-position model. The record is from RNAcentral.
UGGCUGUCGUCAGCUCGUGUCGUGAGAUGUUGGGUUAAGUCCCGUAACGAGCGCAACCCUUGUCCUUAGUUACCAGCACGUAAUGGUGGGCACUCUAAGGAGACUGCCGGUGACAAACCGGAGGAAGGUGGGGAUGACGUCAAGUCAUCAUGGCCCUUACGGCCUGGGCUACACACGUGCUACAAUGGUCGGUACAGAGGGUUGCCAAGCCGCGAGGUGGAGCUAAUCCCACAAAACCGAUCGUAGUCCGGAUCGCAGUCUGCAACUCGACUGCGUGAAGUCGGAAUCGCUAGUAAUCGCGAACUAGAAUGUCGCGGGUGAAUACGUUCCCGGGUCUUGUACACACGCAU